Molecule: ribosomal RNA, 255 nt
Filed under: uncultured bacterium
Lineage: Bacteria
Description: partial 16S ribosomal RNA
Rfam family: Bacterial small subunit ribosomal RNA
Source: RNAcentral
GACAGAGGAGCCAAGCGUUGUCCGGAUUGACUGGGCGUAAAGCGCACGCAGGCGGAACGGCGCGUGGGGUGUGAAAGCUGGCGGCUUAACUGCCAGUCGCCAUCCCAUACGGCCAUUCUGGAGCCUUGCAGAGGGCAGUGGAAUUGCCGGUGUAGUGGUGAAAUGCGUAGAGAUCGGCAGGAACACCCCAGGGGGAAACCAGCUGCCUGGGCAAGCGCUGACGCUGAGGUGCGAGAGCGUGGGGGAGCGAACCGG